RNAcentral lists this ribosomal RNA (497 nucleotides) under uncultured bacterium. RNAcentral's name for it is "partial 16S ribosomal RNA". It matches the Rfam family "Bacterial small subunit ribosomal RNA", at positions 28 to 507 of the family's 1533-position model. The record is from RNAcentral.
GAUGAACGCUGGCGGCGUGCCUAAUACAUGCAAGUCGAGCGAACAGACGAGGAGCUUGCUCCUCUGACGUUAGCGGCGGACGGGUGAGUAACACGUGGAUAACCUACCUAUAAGACUGGGAUAACUUCGGGAAACCGGAGCUAAUACCGGAUAAUAUAUUGAACCGCAUGGUUCAAUAGUGAAAGACGGUUUUGCUGUCACUUAUAGAUGGAUCCGCGCCGCAUUAGCUAGUUGGUAAGGUAACGGCUUACCAAGGCAACGAUGCGUAGCCGACCUGAGAGGGUGAUCGGCCACCCGGGAACUGAGACACGGUCCAGACUCCUACGGUAGGAAGCAGUAGGGAAUCUUACGCAAUGGGCGAAAGCCUGACGGAGCAACGCCGCGGGAGUGAUGAAGGUCUUCGGAUCGUAAAACUCUGUUAUUAGGGAAGAACAAAUGUGUAAGUAACUAUGCACGUCUUGACGGUACCUAAUCAGAAAGCCACGGCUAACUACGUG